This 72-nucleotide transfer RNA is filed under the name Tscherskia triton (greater long-tailed hamster). Its description in RNAcentral is "tRNA-Val". Lineage: Eukaryota; Metazoa; Chordata; Mammalia; Rodentia; Cricetidae. The record is from RNAcentral.
CAUAAAGUAGCUUAAGCCCCAUAAAGCGUCUGGUCUACGCCCAGAAGAUUCCACAACCGUUGGACAUUAUGA